AUUUGAGACCCAUCUGGUUUGCUAUUUAGUGUUAUUGUGUUGUCUGCAGUCUGGGUUUUGUGUAGAUUGUCGCUCUGUUAGUCUUUUGUUAUUAGUUACUCCAAUACAAGCCAUAUGAUGCCCCGUUUAUGUUGUAGAUAGGCAUACACUACACCAAAUAUCUUUUUUUUUUUUUUUACAGCACAUGAGUAUAAGACUAUUAGAAAAGUAUUAAAAUAACUAAUCUAAAAGUUGGUAGAGUGUAAAAGGCGGGCCUAAAAAAUUAUUGAGCGCCAAAGUAAAAGGCAAAAUGAAAUUUUUUUCUCUCUCCCAAAUAAGUCUCCCUCUGAUAGCUCUUCUCUCACAUCCUUCACAUUCUCUUACAAUCUAGGUCUUUUGGAAAAAGUCUUAGAAAGCCCAUGUCCUUUUGGCCAGUUAAGAUGAGUAGAACGAUCUCAUUUGCUCUAGUCUUCAUUCUCUGUUCUCAUAUUAGGUUCAUUCUCUUUCAUUCUUUUUUAUGUUCUCUCUUAUAAGGGUAGAGGUAAGUUUUCUGUGGUUUCUUUUUCCUUUUUAAUCAAAUAAAGUCAUAUGAGUUUGAUCUGUUCUGACUUUAUAUGGGUUUGUUCUAUUAUGAGUUUCCAAAUAUAUGGAUAAAGUUUAUGAGAUAUUCAAAGUUUAUUUUGUAUUUUUUUUUAUUUGAUCUUAUGUGAGAUUCUUAUUUAUUUAUUUUUUUGCAUUUUAAUUUUUAUAUAUUCUUUUUGGUAUUUUUUUUUAUGAUAUUGCUUAUGUGAUAUAUAUAUAUUUAUAUAUGUAUGUUAAAGUUGAUUUCAACCAAUAUUAAUUGAAAGCAUCAAAUUUGGGCAUAAUUAAUUGAUAGUAAAAAUGGCCUAUAUUGAAUUGUUCAAGAGAGAUGAGAAUUGCUUCUAUAGCCACUACUUCAACUUUUUCAAUAUCACCGCUUUUUGGUAUGUCUUCCUUUAUUUCCACUGUAUUGUUUUUUCUUUUGGUUGGUUUAAAUUAUUCUUGAGAUAUAUAUUUAAUUGAUUGGCUUUGGAUUAGAUAAGAGGAGAUUCAGUAGUCGCAAUAUAAAAAUUCCUCGGAUUGCUUUUAAAGAUCUUGUUUUUAGCGUAUGGUUAUGAAGUCCAUCAUGAACUUUGUUUAUCUAAUUCAACCAUGUAUGGUUAUUUUUUAAUUUUCAUUCUUUCCUUGUCCUUCUGGGUCUGUCUUGUUUUUAUUAUAGAGUUUGAUUUCAAUUUUAUGAAACUAAAAUUGAAAUCAAACUCUCUCUCUCUCUCUCUCUCUCUCAGAGUCUAUCAACUCUCUCUCCAUCACGGCUGCUUUGAAAUCAACUCUCUCUCUCUCUCAUAGCUAAAGCAAGACCCAGAGAGAAAAUGAGAUUUGAGAGAGAUAAUACAUAUAUUUAUAUCGAAGGGGUUGUGCAUAUUCUUGAAUUGUGGAGCUCAAUUGUACAGAUAUAUCUGCCCCUUAUCUAAACAAUACAAGAACUCACUCCAAAAUCUCAAGUUAGUCCAGAGAUUCCAGUUUCAAAAUCUCAAGCUUCGUAAUAGAGUGAAGUUCAGGGCAUCAAAACUUUCCUUGGAUGUUAAGAUAUUAUAGCCUUCAUUUUUUGAGAAAAGCUUUAAACAGAAUUAUGAACCAGGAUACCCAGCACCUCCAAAAUUUCUCUUCUAAUUGAAGCAGCAGUGACCAUUAGAACUACCUGGUGCAACAUCAGUAGAUGCUUAAGGUGAGGCCCAAUAUUUAACCAAUGAGAUGUUCAAGAAACCAUUUCUGAGAUUUUAAACAACUUUCUUUUGAUUGGAAAAUCAGAGGUAAGGGCAAGGAGAAAGUCAACCGACCAUGAGUAUGGAGAGCGUGAGGCGACGCGUACAUGUCUGGUCUGCCUGGCUGCCACGACCAGGGGUAUUUUUUUGGAAGAUGCUUGUAAUGAAC
This is a long non-coding RNA of Humulus lupulus (European hop), 1932 nucleotides long. RefSeq lists it as uncharacterized. Lineage: Eukaryota; Viridiplantae; Streptophyta; Magnoliopsida; Rosales; Cannabaceae. The record is from RefSeq and is a predicted model, not a curated record. The transcript has 6 exons.